AGCCCGAUGGUGUAACGGUAGCACGAAAGAUUCUGAUUCUUUUAGUCUAGGUUCAAAUCCUAGUCGGGCUA
This 71-nucleotide transfer RNA is filed under the name Thalassoglobus neptunius. It matches the Rfam family "tRNA". From Rfam's summary of the family: Transfer RNA (tRNA) molecules are approximately 80 nucleotides in length. Their secondary structure includes four short double-helical elements and three loops (D, anti-codon, and T loops). RNAcentral also lists the same sequence under 1 other name. Lineage: Bacteria; Pseudomonadati; Planctomycetota; Planctomycetia; Planctomycetales; Planctomycetaceae. The record is from Rfam by way of RNAcentral.